GAUGAACGCUAGCUACAGGCUUAACCCAUGCAAGUCGAGGGGUAACGAGCGGAAAGCUUGCUUUCCUUGUCGACGACCGGCGCACGGGGGAGUAACGCGUAUCCAACCUGCCCCCAACCAGGGAAUAACCUUGCGACAGUCAGACUCAUACCCUCUACUUUCCUCAGAUAUCCUCUGACGAGUAAUACCGAUCUCUCGAUUGUGGAUGGGGAUGCGGCUGAUUAGCUUGUCGGAGGGGUAACGGACCACCAAGUGAACGAUCAGUAGGGGUUCUGAGAGGAAGGUCCCCCACAUGGGAAAUGAGACACGGUCAAAAAUCCUAAGGGAGGCAGCAGUGAGGAAUAUUGGUCAAUUGGCGGAAGUCUGAACGAGCCAAGUAGCGUGCAUGAUGACGGCCCUAUGGGUUGUAAUCUGCUUUUAUACAGGAAUAAAGUUAGCCACGUGUGGUUAUUUGUAGGUACUGUAUGAAUAAGGACCGGCUAAUUCCGUGCCAGCAGCCGCAGUAA
This 506-nucleotide ribosomal RNA is filed under the name uncultured bacterium. Its description in RNAcentral is "partial 16S ribosomal RNA". It matches the Rfam family "Bacterial small subunit ribosomal RNA", at positions 28 to 523 of the family's 1533-position model. The record is from RNAcentral.